GACGAACGCUGGCGGCGUGCUUAACACAUGCAAGUCGAACGGAAAGGCCCUGCUUUUGUGGGGUGCUCGAGUGGCGAACGGGUGAGUAACACGUGAGUAACCUGCCCUUGACUUUGGGAUAACUUCAGGAAACUGGGGCUAAUACCGGAUAGGAGCUCCUGCUGCAUGGUGGGGGUUGGAAAGUUUCGGCGGUUGGGGAUGGACUCGCGGCUUAUCAGCUUGUUGGUGGGGUAGUGGCUUACCAAGGCUUUGACGGGUAGCCGGCCUGAGAGGGUGACCGGCCACAUUGGGACUGAGAUACGGCCCAGACUCCUACGGGAGGCAGCAGUGGGGAAUAUUGCACAAUGGGCGGAAGCCUGAUGCAGCAACGCCGCGUGCGGGAUGACGGCCUUCGGGUUGUAAACCGCUUUCGCCUGUGACGAAGCGUGAGUGACGGUAAUGGGUAAAGAAGCACCGGCUAACUACGUGCCAGCAGCCGCGGUGAUACGUAGGGUGCGAGCGUUGUCCGGAUUUAUUGGGCGUAAAGGGCUCGUAGGUGGUUGAUCGCGUCGGAAGUGUAAUCUUGGGGCUUAACCCUGAGCGUGCUUUCGAUGCGGGUUGACUUGAGGAAGGUAGGGGAGAAUGGAAUUCCUGGUGGAGCGGUGGAAUGCGCAGAUAUCAGGAGGAACACCAGUGGCGAAGGCGGUUCUCUGGGCCUUUCCUGACGCUGAGGAGCGAAAGCGUGGGGAGCGAACAGGCUUAGAUACCCUGGUAGUCCACGCUGUAAACGGUGGGUACUAGGUGUGGGGUCCAUUCCACGGGUUCCGUGCCGUAGCUAACGCUUUAAGUACCCCGCCUGGGGAGUACGGCCGCAAGGCUAAAACUCAAAGGAAUUGACGGGGCCCCGCACAAGCGGCGGAGCAUGCGGAUUAAUUCGAUGCAACGCGUAGAACCUUACCUGGGUUUGACAUGGAUCGGGAGUGCUCAGAGAUGGGUGUGCCUCUUUUGGGGUCGGUUCACAGGUGGUGCAUGGCUGUCGUCAGCUCGUGUCGUGAGAUGUUGGGUUAAGUCCCGCAACGAGCGCAACCCUUGUUCACUGUUGCCAGCACGUUAUGGUGGGGACUCAGUGGAGACCGCCGGGGUCAACUCGGAGGAAGGUGGGGAUGACGUCAAGUCAUCAUGCCCCUUAUGUCCAGGGCUUCACGCAUGCUACAAUGGCUGGUACAGAGAGUGGCGAGCCUGUGAGGGUGAGCGAAUCUCGGAAAGCCGGUCUCAGUUCGGAUUGGGGUCUGCAACUCGACCUCAUGAAGUCGGAGUCGCUAGUAAUCGCAGAUCAGCAACGCUGCGGUGAAUACGUUCCCGGG
RNAcentral lists this ribosomal RNA (1343 nucleotides) under uncultured bacterium. Its description in RNAcentral is "16S ribosomal RNA". It matches the Rfam family "Bacterial small subunit ribosomal RNA", at positions 28 to 1378 of the family's 1533-position model. The record is from RNAcentral.